UGCGUUCUUGAUCUAGUCUGCCUCAGC
This 27-nucleotide non-coding RNA is filed under the name Mus musculus (house mouse). The record is from RNAcentral. Lineage: Eukaryota; Metazoa; Chordata; Mammalia; Rodentia; Muridae.